UAGCUAGUUGGUGAGGUAAAGGCUUACCAAGGCGACGAUCUGUAGCGGGUCUGAGAGGAUGAUCCGCCACACUGGAACUGAGACACGGUCCAGACUCCUACGGGAGGCAGCAGUGGGGAAUUUUGGACAAUGGGGGCAACCCUGAUCCAGCCAUGCCGCGUGAGUGAAGAAGGCCUUCGGGUUGUAAAGCUCUUUCGGCCGGGAAGAAAUCGCAUGGGCCAAUACCCUGUGUGGAUGACGGUACCGGAAUAAGAAGCACCGGCUAACUACGUGCCAGCAGCCGCGGUAAUACGUAGGGUGCGAGCGUUAAUCGGAAUUACUGGGCGUAAAGCGUGCGCAGGCGGUUUUGUAAGACAGGCGUGAAAUCCCCGGGCUUAACCUGGGAACUGCGUUUGUGACUGCAAGGCUAGAGUACGGCAGAGGGGGGUGGAAUUCCACGUGUAGCAGUGAAAUGCGUAGAGAUGUGGAGGAACACCAAUGGCGAAGGCAGCCCCCUGGGUCGAUACUGACGCUCAUGCACGAAAGCGUGGGUAGCAAACAGGAUUAGAUACCCUGGUAGUCCACGCCCUAAACUAUGUCAACUAGGUGUUGGGUGGGUAAAACCAUUUAGUACCGUAGCUAACGCGUGAAGUUGACCGCCUGGGGAGUACGGCCGCAAGGUUAAAACUCAAAGGAAUUGACGGGGACCCGCACAAGCGGUGGAUGAUGUGGAUUAAUUCGAUGCAACGCGAAAAACCUUACCUACCCUUGACAUGCCAGGAACUUGCCAGAGAUGGCUUGGUGCCCGAAAGGGAACCUGGACACAGGUGCUGCAUGGCUGUCGUCAGCUCGUGUCGUGAGAUGUUGGGUUAAGUCCCGCAACGAGCGCAACCCUUGUCGUUAAUUGCCAUCAUUUAGUUGGGCACUUUAACGAGACUGCCGGUGACAAACCGGAGGAAGGUGGGGAUGACGUCAAGUCCUCAUGGCCCUUAUGGGUAGGGCUUCACACGUCAUACAAUGGUCGGUACAAAGGGUUGCCAAGCCGCGAGGCGGAGCCAAUCCCAGAAAGCCGAUCGUAGUCCGGAUUGCAGGCUGCAACUCGCCUGCAUGAAGUCGGAAUCGCUAGUAAUCGUGGAUCAGCAUGUCACGGUGAAUACGUUCCCGGGUCUUGUACACACCGCCCGUCACACCAUGGGAGCGGGUUCCGCCAGAAGUAGGUAGCCUAACCGCAAGGGGGGCGCUUACCACGGCGGGGUUCGUGACUGGGGUGAAGUCGAAACAAGGUAGCCGUAGGGGAACCUGCGGCUG
RNAcentral lists this ribosomal RNA (1287 nucleotides) under metagenome. RNAcentral describes it as "bacterial SSU rRNA". It matches the Rfam family "Bacterial small subunit ribosomal RNA", at positions 242 to 1520 of the family's 1533-position model. The record is from RNAcentral.